UUUUUUUUUUUUUUUUAAAUCAUAUUUAUUAAAGUUUCCAAAAAUAUAAAAAUACAAAGAAAGAAAGAAAAAGAAAAAAAGAUAUUUAAAAACCUUACUUUCAUUGCCUACUUUCUGGGACUCCCCCCACCCCCCCCAACUGUAUUCCCCUUUCCUUAAUUUAGUUCUACAAGCUCUCACUCCCAAUUUGAAGCUUAAUUUGUUUAACCCACUAUCCAAAUUGAAUUGUACAAAUCUUACCACCGUCCCACAUCAUUAACAAGAAAAGAAAAAGAUUUUCCCCAAGAUCCACCCCAGUUCCUUCCACGAAUUCCCUUUUUUUAAACACGUCCAAUCAAAAUAAAAUGACAUGCGUAAGUUAUG
Non-coding RNA from Podarcis lilfordi (Lilford's wall lizard), 363 nucleotides. The record is from the annotation of a GenBank genome assembly. NCBI's taxonomy places the organism in Eukaryota, Metazoa, Chordata, Lepidosauria, Squamata, Lacertidae.